RNAcentral lists this ribosomal RNA (152 nucleotides) under Citrobacter europaeus. Its description in RNAcentral is "Small Subunit Ribosomal RNA; ssuRNA; SSU rRNA". It matches the Rfam family "Bacterial small subunit ribosomal RNA", at positions 1 to 146 of the family's 1533-position model. The record is from RNAcentral. Lineage: Bacteria; Pseudomonadati; Pseudomonadota; Gammaproteobacteria; Enterobacterales; Enterobacteriaceae.
AAAUUGAAGAGUUUGAUCAUGGCUCAGAUUGAACGCUGGCGGCAGGCCUAACACAUGCAAGUCGAACGGUAGCACAGAGGAGCUUGCUCCUUGGGUGACGAGUGGCGGACGGGUGAGUAAUGUCUGGGAAAUUGCCCGAUGGAGGGGGAUAA